GCCUCCGUAGCUAAAA
RNAcentral lists this transfer RNA (16 nucleotides) under Urosaurus nigricauda. Its description in RNAcentral is "partial tRNA-Thr". Lineage: Eukaryota; Metazoa; Chordata; Lepidosauria; Squamata; Phrynosomatidae. The record is from RNAcentral.